UGGCUCAGGAUUUACGCUAGCGGCAGGCUUAACACAUGCAAGUCGAGGGGCAUCGGGAGGGAAGCUUGCUUUCCUUGCCGGCGACCGGCGCACGGGUGAGUAACACGUAUGCAACCUGCCCUCUUCAGGGGGACAACCUUCCGAAGGGAGGCUAAUCCCGCGUAUAUCGGUUUCGGGCAUCCGAGAUCGAGGAAAGAUUCAUCGGAAGAGGAUGGGCAUGCGGCGCAUUAGCUAGACGGCGGGGUAACGGCCCACCGUGGCGACGAUGCGUAGGGGUUCUGAGAGGAAGGUCCCCCACACUGGUACUGAGACACGGACCAGACUCCUACGGGAGGCAGCAGUGAGGAAUAUUGGUCAAUGAGAGAGAUCCUGAACCAGCCAAGCCGCGUGAGGGAAGACGGCCCUAUGGGUUGUAAACCUCUUUUGUCGGAGAACAAAACCCGGGACGUGUCCCGGACUGCGUGUAUCCGAAGAAAAAGCAUCGGCUAACUCCGUGCCAGCAGCCGCGGUAAUACGGAGGAUGCGAGCGUUAUCCGGAUUUAUUGGGUUUAAAGGGUGCGUAGGCGGUCCGUUAAGUCAGCGGUAAAAUUGCGGGGCUCAACCCCGUCGAGCCGUUGAAACUGGCAGACUUGAGUUGGCGAGAAGUACGCGGAAUGCGCGGUGUAGCGGUGAAAUGCAUAGAUAUCGCGCAGAACUCCGAUUGCGAAGGCAGCGUACCGGCGCCAGACUGACGCUGAGGCACGAAAGCGUGGGGAUCGAACAGGAUUAGAUACCCUGGUAGUCCACGCAGUAAACGAUGAAUGCUGGUUGUCCGGGUCGAAUGAGAUCUGGGCGGCGAAGCGAAAGCGAUAAGCAUUCCACCUGGGGAGUACGCCGGCAACGGUGAAACUCAAAGGAAUUGACGGGGGCCCGCACAAGCGGAGGAACAUGUGGUUUAAUUCGAUGAUACGCGAGGAACCUUACCCGGGCUCAAACGGGAGUGGAAUGGACCAGAGACGGUUCAGCCUACGGGCCGCUUCCGAGGUGCUGCAUGGUUGUCGUCAGCUCGUGCCGUGAGGUGUCGGCUUAAGUGCCAUAACGAGCGCAACCCCCGCCGGCAGUUGCUAACGGGCAAUGCCGAGGACUCUGCCGGGACUGCCGCCGCAAGGCGUGAGGAAGGCGGGGAUGACGUCAAAUCAGCACGGCCCUUACGUCCGGGGCGACACACGUGUUACAAUGGGCGGUACAGCGGGAAGCCAGGCGGCGACGCCGAGCGGAACCCGAAAGCCGUUCUCAGUUCGGAUCGGAGUCUGCAACCCGACUCCGUGAAGCUGGAUUCGCUAGUAAUCGCGCAUCAGCCAUGGCGCGGUGAAUACGUUCCCGGGCCUUGUACACACCGCCCGUCAAGCCAUGGGAGCCGGGGGUGCUUGAAGUGCGUCGCCGUGAGGCGCGCCCUAGAGCAAAACCGGUGACUGGGGCUAAGUCGUAACAA
Molecule: ribosomal RNA, 1471 nt
Filed under: uncultured bacterium
Lineage: Bacteria
Description: 16S ribosomal RNA
Rfam family: Bacterial small subunit ribosomal RNA
Source: RNAcentral